This 279-nucleotide long non-coding RNA is filed under the name Zonotrichia albicollis (white-throated sparrow). RNAcentral describes it as "lncRNA (ENSZALG00000015223.1)". Lineage: Eukaryota; Metazoa; Chordata; Aves; Passeriformes; Passerellidae. The record is from RNAcentral.
GUGUGGGAGCAGCAGUCUUGGUUCCCCUGGAUAAACACUGGACUAUGUGCUACUUGUGCUUGGCUACGUCAGCUGUAAGCCCUCAAGGUAUCAAGUCCUUCCAGCCUCUUACCCUGUGAUCUGUCAGAUGCAGCAAUUUGUGAUGCCCCAUUCAGGAGUUUCUCAGGCCAUGCUCUGUGAGGUGUGCCCCAUUCCCUGAGCACAGCCACAGCCUGGGAGAGAAACGUGUGCAUUCUGCUGGGACUAAACCAGAUCCCCAUGGUAUGCAAAAGGUGAAAA